RNAcentral lists this transfer RNA (48 nucleotides) under Pelargonium paniculatum. RNAcentral describes it as "partial tRNA-Leu". RNAcentral also lists the same sequence under 1 other name. The record is from RNAcentral. Lineage: Eukaryota; Viridiplantae; Streptophyta; Magnoliopsida; Geraniales; Geraniaceae.
AAUCCGUCGACGUUAACAGUCGUGAGGGUUCAAGUCCCUCUAUCCCCA